Molecule: long non-coding RNA, 309 nt
Filed under: Elaeis guineensis (African oil palm)
Lineage: Eukaryota; Viridiplantae; Streptophyta; Magnoliopsida; Arecales; Arecaceae
Description: long non-coding RNA (EGUI_LNC010402)
Source: RNAcentral
UAGGCGCUUUUGAAGCCCACAAGACAAGGGCCAAUCAGCAAGUGGGCUGGCUUCCCUAAGAAAAUCCAGAAGAGUUGUUAGUCUAGGUUGAGUAUGCAAAGCUGGGGUGGUUCUAUUAAAAAAAAAAAGCAGGGGAGCCAACAUCUCACGUUAUGUUGGGUUCAAUAACCACGAACCGAACCAUCACUUGAGAAGCUUAUUGUUUACAUAGCAGGAUACCAUCAGUUGUAAUGAUGGAAGCCUACGUGAGAGAAGUUUUGAGUAUGAACCAUAUGGAGGUGAAACAUCAAAUCUAGAAUUUGUGGGCUG